GCGUGCUUAACACAUGCAAGUCGAACGGAAAGGCCCUGCUUUUGUGGGGUGCUCGAGUGGCGAACGGGUGAGUAACACGUGAGUAACCUGCCCUUGACUUUGGGAUAACUUCAGGAAACUGGGGCUAAUACCGGAUAGGAGCUCCUGCUGCAUGGUGGGGGUUGGAAAGUUUCGGCGGUUGGGGAUGGACUCGCGGCUUAUCAGCUUGUUGGUGGGGUAGUGGCUUACCAAGGCUUUGACGGGUAGCCGGCCUGAGAGGGUGACCGGCCACAUUGGGACUGAGAUACGGCCCAGACUCCUACGGGAGGUAGCAGUGGGGAAUAUUGCACAAUGGGCGGAAGCCUGAUGCAGCAACACCGCGUGCGGGAUGACGGCCUUCGGGUUGUAAACCGCUUUCGCCUGUGACGAAGCGUGAGUGACGGUAAUGGGUAAAGAAGCACCGGCUAACUACGUGCCAGCAGCCGCGGUGAUACGUAGGGUGCGAGCGUUGUCCGGAUUUAUUGGGCGUAAAGGGCUCGUAGGUGGUUGAUCGCGUCGGAAGUGUAAUCUUGGGGCUUAACCCUGAGCGUGCUUUCGAUACGGGUUGACUUGAGGAAGGUAGGGGAGAAUGGAAUUCCUGGUGGAGCGGUGGAAUGCGCAGAUAUCAGGAGGAACACCAGUGGCGAAGGCGGUUCUCUGGGCCUUUCCUGACGCUGAGGAGCGAAAGCGUGGGGAGCGAACAGGCUUAGAUACCCUGGUAGUCCACGCUGUAAACGGUGGGUACUAGGUGUGGGGUCCAUUCCACGGGUUCCGUGCCGUAGCUAACGCUUUAAGUACCCCGCCUGGGGAGUACGGCCGCAAGGCUAAAACUCAAAGGAAUUGACGGGGCCCCGCACAAGCGGCGGAGCAUGCGGAUUAAUUCGAUGCAACGCGUAGAACCUUACCUGGGUUUGACAUGGAUCGGGAGUGCUCAGAGAUGGGUGUGCCUCUUUUGGGGUCGGUUCACAGGUGGUGCAUGGCUGUCGUCAGCUCGUGUCGUGAGAUGUUGGGUUAAGUCCCGCAACGAGCGCAACCCUUGUUCACUGUUGCCAGCACGUUAUGGUGGGGACUCAGUGGAGACCGCCGGGGUCAACUCGGAGGAAGGUGGGGAUGACGUCAAGUCAUCAUGCCCCUUAUGUCCAGGGCUUCACGCAUGCUACAAUGGCUGGUACAGAGAGUGGCGAGCCUGUGAGGGUGAGCGAAUCUCGGAAAGCCGGUCUCAGUUCGGAUUGGGGUCUGCAACUCGACCUCAUGAAGUCGGAGUCGCUAGUAAUCGCAGAUCAGCAACGCUGCGGUGAAUACGUUCCCGGGGCUUGUACACACCGCCCGUCAAGUCAUGAAAGUUGGUAACACCCGAAGCCGGUGGCCUAACCGUUGUGGGGGAGCCGUCGAAGGUGGGACUGGUGAUUAGGACUAAAUC
This 1438-nucleotide ribosomal RNA is filed under the name uncultured organism. Its description in RNAcentral is "partial small subunit ribosomal RNA". It matches the Rfam family "Bacterial small subunit ribosomal RNA". The record is from RNAcentral.